This 253-nucleotide ribosomal RNA is filed under the name uncultured bacterium. Its description in RNAcentral is "partial 16S ribosomal RNA". It matches the Rfam family "Bacterial small subunit ribosomal RNA", at positions 524 to 776 of the family's 1533-position model. The record is from RNAcentral.
UACGAAGGGGGCUAGCGUUGUUCGGAAUUACUGGGCGUAAAGCGCGCGUAGGCGGUUUGUAAAGUUGGGAGUGAAAGCCCAGGGCUUAACCCUGGAAAUGCUCUCAAAACUCACAAACUAGAGAGUGGUAGAGGAUGGCGGAAUUCCUAGUGUAGAGGUGAAAUUCGUAGAUAUUAGGAGGAACACCGGUGGCGAAGGCGGCCAUCUGGGCCAAUACUGACGCUGAGGCGCGAAAGCGUGGGGAGCAAACAGG